AUGGGACGGCACGCGGGCACCGGCGGCGGCGGGGGCGUCCAGCAGAAGCUGCGCAAGGGGCUGUGGUCUCCCGAGGAGGACGAGAAGCUCUACAACCACAUCAUCCGCUACGGCGUCGGGUGCUGGAGCUCCGUGCCCAAGCUCGCCGGUCUGCAGAGGUGCGGCAAGAGCUGCCGGCUGCGGUGGAUCAACUACCUGCGCCCCGACCUGAAGCGGGGAAGCUUCUCGCAGCAGGAGGAGGACGCCAUCGUCGGCCUGCAUGAGAUCCUGGGGAACAGGUGGUCGCAGAUAGCGUCUCACUUGCCCGGCCGGACGGACAACGAGAUCAAGAACUUUUGGAACAGCUGCCUCAAGAAGAAGCUGCGGCAGCGCGGCAUCGACCCCAGCACCCACAAGCCCAUCUCCGGCGUGGUGGGGGUGGAACCGGACCAGGCAUCGAAAGAUGAGAGGCCGCAGGCGGCCGACGGUCUAGCCCUGAAGCAGCAGCAGGUGUUCGACCCUUUCCCGGUGGCCGACACCUUCGGCGCCGGCUUCGAUGGGGCGGGCAUGCCGCUGUACGACCACCUCGGCGGCAAGGACGCGGCCGGGUUCGUGGACUACAGCAGCGUGCUGGACGUGUCGGAGAACCUGGGCUACGGCGAGAGCUCCAGCAACAGCAGCAACUGGAACAGCGCGCCGGAGGCGAGCAACGCGCUGGAGGGCGAGGCGCUGCAUUGGGCCUCGGAGAGCAAGGUGGAGCCUUUCGCCGGCUACGCCGGCGACGAGGACGACAAGUUCGCGCUGCCCUGCCACGGCCAGCAAGAGCACAGCAUGGCGCAUUUUGACUUCAACCUCGAGUACUUCUGA
This 846-nucleotide ribosomal RNA is filed under the name Triticum aestivum (bread wheat). RNAcentral describes it as "partial small subunit ribosomal RNA". The record is from RNAcentral. Lineage: Eukaryota; Viridiplantae; Streptophyta; Magnoliopsida; Poales; Poaceae.